Diceros bicornis minor is the source of this 495-nucleotide long non-coding RNA. RefSeq lists it as uncharacterized. Lineage: Eukaryota; Metazoa; Chordata; Mammalia; Perissodactyla; Rhinocerotidae. The transcript has 3 exons. The record is from RefSeq and is a predicted model, not a curated record.
GCAGACUACUUUUCACGGGGAAGAGAGAAAUAAACACCAUGAACAACCACAGCACGUCCACAGCCCUCUCUGCAGAGCCAGGCACCAGAGAACAAGAAGUCUUGCUUCCAAACCAGAAUGUAUGAGACGUCCACUGCCCUCUGUUCCCAGCAGAAUGACCAGAACCAAUUUGUUGGCUUUUAUUUGCCUGGCCCUUCUAUUGAAACCCUGUCCAUUAAAGGAGGCUGUAAAGGGUCCAAAAAGACGUUCACCCUGAGGGCUGGAAUGGAAGUGGUGAGCAUUCACUGCACAACCACUGCUGGAGAAGACACUGGAGGUAACAGAAAACUGAGGCAUCUGAACCUGCAAACCCAGGAAGCCAAAGCGGAGCCCACCCUACUUCGUCAUUACACCACAGGGCUGGCACCCAGGCAAGUUUUUGAUGCUCUGUGAGAUUUAGUUUCCUCAUCAGGGCUGUUGUGGCAACUUAAUGAUAUAACAUAGUUGAUGCGCUUG